AGGAAAAACAACCCCCUCAUCUUCAUUAUUUUAUAGCAGAGGGAAGAGAGAUGACUUGACUACCUCUAACAUGACGACAGAAGAAAGCAUCUGAUGCCCUGGAGAAGGAGCUAGAGAUGACUGUAGGCUCCACACCAGUGCCAGGACACAUGCUGCCUGUGUGAACUGGGAGACCAACCAGCUGAAAUGGCUCACUCUGGCAGAAUUCAGCAGACACCUUUGCCUGGAACGUUGGCUGCUGUCGAAAACCUGCUUGGCCUCAUUCUGCAGAUUGCUGGGAAGCGGGGCUAUGGUCCUCUCAGACGGUAACUAAAGGCCUGGUGUUCCAGGGGGUUUCCUGUCAGCAAUGCCUGCUCUGGACUGCAAUUCUAGUUGGCUGUUUUCUUGUUUGGUCAAAUAGGAACUCUGUUUUGCUGAGUCGGCAGUCCCUGGCAGUCUAGUCCUUUUACCUUCAUGUGACAUUGUACCAGUGAAGGGCCUUCCCUUCUGCUCAGGGAACCAGUCCUUCUUUCCUCUACUGAACUCCUCCACCGGCGAGCACUGGGGGCUAGAGAGCUUUAACAAGGCAAUCAGCAUAAUGUACGGAAGGCUGGUGGCCUCAAAACCUGAAGGGGCUGUAACUUAAACUUCACUCCAAACGACUUCGAUCGGAAAAGACGAAAAGGAACCAAUUCUUGGUGGGCAUUUGAAAGGUGUUUUCUAAAGCGGCAGGCACGGCACGGGCGGUUCUUUUUCAACCUGGGGUGAGGGGCAUGGAAGAGGCUCUCCUAGAAAACAGGUGCAGAGGAGAAGUCUUUACUGGAAGCACAAAGAGCAGCUUAAUGUUGCAAGGGAGACUGGAUGGAUGCCAGGAGACAUCCCAGGGGAGGGUGCUGCCAAGCAACGGACAGGCAGAGAGCUGACCGAGCUCUUUUCUUAGUGCUGUCUGCUGGCUCCGAAGUUCUACCAGAGCAGAGAACUGCUUCGAAAGGCUCAGUAAGCUUUGAAACAAUCAUGGCGACUCUUGAGCAAUGUGAAGUCUGAGAAGCUAAGAAGCAAACUAGAGAGAUGACGAAUCCAUCAGCUCUCCGCGCAGUGGCUCUCUUCGGCUCUGGUGGGACACUCCUUGAGACAGCUCCACAGGGCCAGACAUUCAGUGUCACAGCCCUGUCUGUGCCUUUGAUGUGGGCAGUUUGAAUCUAAGUGUCUCCUAAAUGCUUCCCAGACACUUCCUGGGGGAGGAGGGGAAGGUAUAAAGAGUGCACCAUUUCAGCUGGCAAAGGUAGGGUUAAUGAUGCUUUUGUACCUCAGAACUGAAAGUCACAGGCUAGGGUGGGUGGGCAGGGAAGAGGAUUGGAGAUGUUUCCUAAAUGUCUGCGGUCAACUUACUAAUGAGAAAUCUUAAACCAGAAAAGCAAAAUCCACAGAGGCAGAACCUGGUAUCGACAGAGCCGGGCCUGUUGGCUCCUCAGCUGGCAACGCACGCAGUACAGCGUUUUAAGAGGCUUGGGUGGGGCUGGAGAGAUGGCUCAGUAGUUAAGAGCGCUGACUGCUUUUUCCGGAGACCCAGAGUUCAAUUCCCAGCAACCACAGAACCGAUGUCUCCCCCACCCUAAACCACACAUCAAUUCUGUUUUCCAAUCACCUCUCUUAGUUUCUAAUCUUUCCUUCGCAAAUAUGGUAUUUUAGUGUAUUAGACAGUGGACAUGGGCAUGGUGGGGCGGUGUCUCGGGGGCAGGUAGCAUCUUACAGAUAUUCUUUAAACAAUUCACUUUCAGCAAUCUUUCACGACAGGCUGCGUUCUGCACAGGCUUGAUGGCCUUCUUGGUGGCGUCCACUGCCCCGUGAACCUGCUGCACAGCAGUAAUUUGUCUUCUCCAUAGCAACAGAGCCCCAAGGCUUUUUUACUAGGAUGCAACCCAGGGACCCCACGAGACACAAAGCGUCAGCUCUUCAAAGCAAGCCGGUUGAUGGCGUUUAAAGUAGUAAGGAGAGGGCUGUGGUAAUUGGUAUGAUAUAAAAUGUAAUAACAGGAUGUGUCUGGAGCUUGGCCUUGUGCCUUUAAUUACCUCCUCCUCACCUUUCUUACCUACCGUCUUCCACUCUCCUAGACACACUGUCCCCUCUGCCGCCAAGCAGUCGCCGCAGGAACGGGUUUGUUCUUUGAGAAUAUGCACUCAAAAGGAGAAAACCACGCAAAUGAGAACUUUUUAUUAAAAUGUUUAUUUGUGAGCUGGGAGGUGGUGGCGCACGCCUUUAAUCCCAGCACUUGGGAG
Mus musculus (house mouse) is the source of this 2255-nucleotide long non-coding RNA. RefSeq annotates it as RIKEN cDNA B430209F14 gene. NCBI's taxonomy places the organism in Eukaryota, Metazoa, Chordata, Mammalia, Rodentia, Muridae. The transcript is spliced from 3 exons. The record is from RefSeq and is a predicted model, not a curated record.